This 26-nucleotide non-coding RNA is filed under the name Rattus norvegicus (Norway rat). The record is from RNAcentral. Lineage: Eukaryota; Metazoa; Chordata; Mammalia; Rodentia; Muridae.
GAGGAGCUCCGUAGAUGAAGACUGCA